RNAcentral lists this ribosomal RNA (88 nucleotides) under Pseudomonas aeruginosa. Lineage: Bacteria; Pseudomonadati; Pseudomonadota; Gammaproteobacteria; Pseudomonadales; Pseudomonadaceae. The record is from RNAcentral.
CUGAUCCCUUCCCGAACUCAGUAGUGAAACGACGCAUCGCCGAUGGUAGUGUGGGGUUUCCCCAUGUGAGAGUAGGUCAUCGUCAAGC